Molecule: ribosomal RNA, 247 nt
Filed under: uncultured bacterium
Lineage: Bacteria
Description: partial 16S ribosomal RNA
Rfam family: Bacterial small subunit ribosomal RNA
Source: RNAcentral
AUACGUAGGUGGCGAGCGUUGUCCGGAUUUACUGGGCGUAAAGGAUGCGUAGGCGGAUGUUUAAGUCAGAUGUGAAAAUCCCGAGCUUAACUUGGGAACUGCAUUUGAAACUGGAUAUCUAGAGUGCGGGAGAGGAGAAUGGAAUUCCUAGUGUAGCGGUGAAAUGCGUAGAGAUUAGGAAGAACACCAGUGGCGAAGGCGAUCCUCUGGAUCGUAACUGACGCUGAGGCAUGAAAGCGUGGGUAGC